This 70-nucleotide transfer RNA is filed under the name Loxodonta africana (African savanna elephant). It matches the Rfam family "tRNA". From Rfam's summary of the family: Transfer RNA (tRNA) molecules are approximately 80 nucleotides in length. The record is from Rfam by way of RNAcentral. Lineage: Eukaryota; Metazoa; Chordata; Mammalia; Proboscidea; Elephantidae.
ACAGUGGUAGUUCAGUGGUAGAAUUCUCCCUUCCAUGCGGGAGACCUGGGUUCCAUUCCUGGCCAGUGUA